CGUUCUAUGGCCGAAUUGGUAAAUGCAUCCCCGAUCACAGGCGAGGAUGCGGGUUCGAGUCCCGCUGGAACGG
Molecule: transfer RNA, 73 nt
Organism: Operophtera brumata (winter moth)
Lineage: Eukaryota; Metazoa; Arthropoda; Insecta; Lepidoptera; Geometridae
Rfam family: tRNA
About the family: Transfer RNA (tRNA) molecules are approximately 80 nucleotides in length. Their secondary structure includes four short double-helical elements and three loops (D, anti-codon, and T loops). Further hydrogen bonds mediate the characteristic L-shaped molecular structure. tRNAs have two regions of fundamental functional importance: the anti-codon, which is responsible for specific mRNA codon recognition, and the 3' end, to which the tRNAs corresponding amino acid is attached (by aminoacyl-tRNA synthetases). tRNAs cope with the degeneracy of the genetic code in two manners: having more than one tRNA (with a specific anti-codon) for a particular amino acid; and 'wobble' base-pairing, i.e. permitting non-standard base-pairing at the 3rd anti-codon position.
Source: Rfam